Molecule: RNA transcript, 1141 nt
Organism: Cimex lectularius (bed bug)
Lineage: Eukaryota; Metazoa; Arthropoda; Insecta; Hemiptera; Cimicidae
Gene name: rootletin-like
Exons: 6
Source: RefSeq, a predicted model, not a curated record
UUACAACCAUCAAUCAUUCAAAUCAUACAUAUCUACUUAUCACUUUUUACCAGAUUUUGUCAAUCCUGUCUUAGUACAAAAUCUAUUGGGUAAUCUAGCAAAAAUUCCAUUAGUGGCAUGUUUUGGUUGAAACGCAUAUUUUUGAUGUAGCAUUGAUUGACAACUCUGAUAAACCGAUCUUUCUCCAUCGGAUACGGUCUAGCUCCACGAGGUCUUAAACGAUUCAUUAGCAUACAACCGCAAGUGCAAUAAGUCAAACAAGGGAUAAGCAUGUUGUAUUCAAAUAUCGUAAAUAUUGUUAUGGAAUUUUUGGAAGUUGUGAUUCACCAGUUGUUGUACGUUAAAAAAAUAUACCCUGAUGGAAUAUUUCUGACAAAACGGAAGUACGGAGUUCCUAUUCAUGUGUCAGCAUAUCCACCAUUAAAUGAUUACAUCAGUAAAUCGCUUUCAACCAUCAAAUUUAUUUUAGAUAAAAAAGAUUUACAACAAUUGGAUAUUUGCUUUUAUGAUCCUAAUUCUAAACUAAUUGAAAAAAUUGUUUUUUAUUUCAAUAAAAUCAUCACUGGACCUCAAGAACUCAAUAAAAAUAUCAUUGACAGUGUGGAAGAUCCAUAUUUAGUCCAUCUUACAGAGGUUUUAAGAGCAUUUUGUUUAAAACUCACAGUCAGCACAAAUUACACAACACCUUUACUUGAAGGAUCCACGUUUAAAUUUUGCAUACACACAACGGAGUCUACAUCGUAUAUUUUAUCUGAAGAUGCUGAACAUAAGGAGUUUCCAUGGUAUGUGACAGAAAGUAGAGAAAUUAAUAUCGACGACAGCACAAUAACACCAAUUCGUACAAUAGAGCAUGAAUUUAUGAACAUCGACAUUUACUGCGAGGAAAGUUCAUCGAAAUAAAAAAAAGCAUUGUGAUUGAAUGAAGGUUUCUUCGGGUGAAAGUUGCCGCUGAUUGUUAUGGCCCUAGCAACAGCCAGUUUGCUCAAUAAUUUUUACCGUUGAUAUUUUACAUUAAUGUUUUUUGAUAGUCAAAAGUUAAAAUGAGUGGUAUGGACUUAGAAAGAUUAGCCUCUGAGUUAAAAUCUGACAAAGCUGCAAGGGAUGCACUUAUUGAAGAUAAUAAACGACUUGAAGCUGAAGC